AGUAUCCUAGUCUGCCAAUCUUCUAGGAUAUUAGCUAUUCCUGCCAGCUUAAUAUCACCUGCAAAUUUGAUAAGUUCCCCUUCUAUUCCCUCAUCUAAGUUGUUAAUGAAGAUAUUGAAGAGUAAUGGGCCUAUGACGGAACCUUGUGACAUUCCACUGCUUACUUCCCUCUAUGUAGACUUAGACCCAUUAAGGACUACUCGUUGAGUAUGUCAGCCAGUUGCGAAUC
Molecule: non-coding RNA, 229 nt
Organism: Pseudonaja textilis
Lineage: Eukaryota; Metazoa; Chordata; Lepidosauria; Squamata; Elapidae
Source: RefSeq, a predicted model, not a curated record